AGGAUGGAAUGCUUUACCAUUUGUUUAUGUCCUCUCUCAUUUCUCUGAGCAGUGGUUUAUAGUUCUCCUUGAAGAGGUCCUUCACAUCCCUUGUUAGCUGUAUUCCUAGGUAUUUUAUUCUCUCGGUAGCAGUUGUGAAUGAGCGUUCAUGAUUUGGCACUCUUUAAGUCUGUU
Molecule: long non-coding RNA, 174 nt
Organism: Cebus imitator (Panamanian white-faced capuchin)
Lineage: Eukaryota; Metazoa; Chordata; Mammalia; Primates; Cebidae
Exons: 3
Source: RefSeq, a predicted model, not a curated record